GUGAAGGAGCUCUAUGGGGAGAAGUUCCUGGCGUCUGUCAAGAAAUCAACUGAAAAGCUGAAGUCAGCAUGUUGCAACAACCUGUAUUUGGUGACGAACUGCAUGGAACAUGCCCUGACAGCCUGCCACCCCCGCACCCGAUACUCCCCAGGCUGGGAUGCUAAGCUCCUCUACAUCCCCAUGAGCUACAUGCCCACCUUGCUGGUGGACACCAUGAUCUACUGGAGUUCUCCGAGGCCCAUUAAGGCUCUGUAACCCAAGCCUGGGGUGCAAGGAUGGACAUAGCCUGGGGGAGUUAAUGCCCCUCUCCACUGAAGAUACCUAAUGCCAGAACAGAUGUGAAUGGGGACAACCAGCCCGACCCAUUAGCCUGAGGAGCCAAAUCACAGACCUUGACUAAAAGGACAUGUUUAUAAUUGGACACAGAGGACACAGAAACCAGCUAUUGGGGCGCCUCGGUGGCUCAAGACGGUUAAGCAUCUUCCCUUCAACUCAGGUCAUGAUUUCAGGGUCCUGGGAUCAAGCCCCUCAUCGGGCUCCCUGCUUAGCGGGGAGUCUGAUUCUCCCUCUCCCUCUGUGCCUCCCCCCUACUUGUGUGCUCUCUCUCUCUCUGUCAAAUAAAUAAAACCUAAAAAAAGGAAGAAAGAAAAAAAGAAAGAGAAACCAGUUGUUGAGUUGUCUUGAAACCUUGAAGUCCAUUGAUUAUUUCUGCCUCAAAAUAAAAGUUGAAAAGUUUACUUAGGCCUGGUGAUUGGAACCGUGGCCUUGGGGAGCAGUGGGGUGUGAGUCCAUGAGAGGAGGAGUCAGGUGCCUUCACAGAGAUCAAGGGAGCAAUGGGGUAACCUGGGCGGGAUUUCAAGGUCGCCCCCUUCCUUCCACAGAAGUGGGGGCUAAUGUUUCCUUUCCAGGAUUUAUCAAGUAAUGUGGGGUCACAGGAGACCCAAGGAUGGACAGACAAGGAGAAGUUGCUGAAGCACUGGCAGACCCUAGUCCUUUCCCAGGGACAUCAAGCUUGCCCCCUCAGCAGCAUCCUCUCUGCAGCCCUCUGUUCUCCCCUCCUCUAGAUUUAUGUCCCCAACUGUGGCCAUCCCCAACUUCCCCAGCCCAGAUCCCCCUUCCCACAUCCUCCAGUGGAGGAGAGUAAGAGUCACUUCUGGACCCCAGUCUUUUGUUCUCUGCUAACCUUUGUUGAGCGCCUACUGUGUGCCAGGCAGGAAUUCCCUUAAUUACCCAGCACUUCCUGAGACCGUGACUCUCUCUGUCUUCGCUAUUGUGAUGAUGUUCUGAGCAUGGACUGAACAGAGGAAGCAUUUGCAGAGAGUGAUGCAGAUUCCUGGGCUGAGGACAAACCAGAACUGAGCUGCCUCAUCAGUAGGUGCUGGAAAUGGCCUGGAGGAGCUGAUGGCCCCUCUCUGCUGAAGAUAUUAGUGAACAGAGGUGUGAAUGGUGUUCAACCACCAGCCCAACACUUCAGCCUCAGGUACUCAGCAGGGAGACUUGUCAUCUGAGAGUGGGGCAUUUCUAGCCCUAGGAAAAGAGCCCUUCUCUGUGGUUCCCAUUCCCAACUGCAUAA
This is a non-coding RNA of Callorhinus ursinus (northern fur seal), 1573 nucleotides long. Lineage: Eukaryota; Metazoa; Chordata; Mammalia; Carnivora; Otariidae. The record is from RefSeq and is a predicted model, not a curated record.